Long non-coding RNA from Dermochelys coriacea (leatherback sea turtle), 160 nucleotides. RefSeq lists it as uncharacterized. NCBI's taxonomy places the organism in Eukaryota, Metazoa, Chordata, Testudines, Dermochelyidae. The record is from RefSeq and is a predicted model, not a curated record. The transcript has 3 exons.
CUGAAAUACUCAAUGCUUUUUUUGCUUCGGUCUUCACAAAUAAGGUCAGCUCACAGGAUUGCUGCACUGGGCAACACAGUAUGGGGAGGAGGUGAGCAGUCCUCAGUGAUGAAAUAACAGGUUAAGGACUAUUUAGAAAAGCUGGACAUGCUCAAGUCAA